Molecule: ribosomal RNA, 795 nt
Filed under: Ooencyrtus plautus
Lineage: Eukaryota; Metazoa; Arthropoda; Insecta; Hymenoptera; Encyrtidae
Description: 12S ribosomal RNA
Source: RNAcentral
AAUUUUAAAUUUUAAUUUAGUUAAAAAUUAAUUUUAAUUUAUUGAUAUAUAUAAUUAUUAAAUAUUCAUAUAAAUUUAAAUAAUUUUAAUAAAUUUUAAUAUAUAAUAUUAUUAUUUUUUAAAAAAUUAAUUAUAGAUAAAAUUAUAAUAUAAAAUCAUUAUGUGCCAGCAUUUGCGGUUAAACAUAAUAUAUAAAUUAAUUAAUUUAUUUAAGUAUAAUUUUAAUAGUAAAUUAUUUAAAAAUUAAAAUAUUAUUUUUUUUUUAGAUAAAAUAAAAAUUUUAUAAAAAUUUAAUUUAUACUUAAUUUAAUAUAAUUACAAAAAUUUAUUUAUAAACUAGGAUUAGAUACCCUAUUAUUUAAAUUAAUAUUUAUUUAUAAAUUAUUAAUUAAAUUAAUAAAAUUAAAAAUUAUGGCGGUAAUUAAAUUUAUUUAGGGGAAUUUGAAAAAUUAAAUUGAUAGUCCACGAUAAAUUAAACUUAAUUUAAUAUAUUUAUGUAUGUUUGUUAAAAAAAUAUUUUUUAAAAAUUUUCAAUAUUUUAAAUAUUUUAAAAAUAAGAUUUCAGAUCAAUAUGUAAUAAAUUAAGAUUUUUUUAAUUACUUAAAAUUAAAUUUAUUAAAAAUAUAAUUAAAAAUAUUUAAAUUAAAUUUUUAUUAUAAUAGGAUUUAAAAGUAAAGUAAAAAAUUAUUUUAUUUGAAUAAAAUUUUUAAUUAUGUACAAAUUGCCCGUCACUUUUAUUUAUAAAUAAAAUAAGUCGUAACAAAGUAAAUGUAUUGGAAAGUGUAUUUAGAACUU